This is a long non-coding RNA of Acanthochromis polyacanthus (spiny chromis), 837 nucleotides long. RefSeq lists it as uncharacterized. The transcript has 5 exons. The record is from RefSeq and is a predicted model, not a curated record. Lineage: Eukaryota; Metazoa; Chordata; Actinopteri; Pomacentridae.
CGGAAGUUUUGUAAUGAGUGUUAGCAAACAUAGUUACGCUAGCUUGCUCAUCGCAACAAUCUUUCGAUCUGGAAUAGCAGCCAGGAGCCAUCAGCCCCAACAGCCAUGGACAGCUUUGUGUUGUUUCGGGGAGCAAAGCGUAUCACCCUAAAGGAGGAUGACAUGACUACCGAAAAAAUAGCCAGGAUUUUCCAGGUUCAUAACUCCAGUCUCUACAUUACCGAUGAUAACAAUAUGGCCAUAUUCCCUGGAAAUGAGGGUCAAUUCAGAACUAUUGACCUUAUUGUAAGGGGAUAUUAUGAAGAGCAUGGAGAGAGUGAUGAUAUGGGGGAGCCAGCCAGUGUGCCUGGACCAUUCCCGACCCGUUUCUCCUUCCGCCGGCCAGCAAGUGCCGCUGCGGGCUCAGCUUCAACUGCAAGGCCCUCUCCGAGAGCACCCAUGGCUAAGACAUUCCAAAGGACCGUCUUCAUUGCUGAUCUUGUGGAUGGCAGAUUGGAAACAAGCAAAGCCCUGACAGUCCGAUUCUUGGAAUUUGAGGCUUCUUUCGUGGGCAUCACAAGUAAAUGAUGCCCUUGAACUUACUGAUGCUCAGGGAAACCAGAUCUUGGACACAGAGGGCACCAGAGGAUCAGUGUUUUGGAAGCAAACUGCAAGGAAAGUUUGUGCUGUGAAGGAAGGAGAUUUACGGCAGUUACAAGGAAGCAAAAAGAGGAGACUGAGUCGGCGAGAUGAUAAUGGUCUAGAUGCAGUGUUUGAUACAAUUGAAGAGGUGGUACUGGCAGCACAGGGUCUUCAGGAGGUGUCAACUACAAUCAAGGAGCUGACAAACCGAGCAAG